AGAGUUUGAUCAUGGCUCAGAUUGAACGCUGGCGGCAUGCCUUACACAUGCAAGUCGAACGGCAGCACGGGGGGCAACUCCUGGUGGCGAGUGGCGAACGGGUGAGUAAUAUAUCGGAACGUGUCCUGUAGCGGGGGAUAACCUAUCGAAAGAUGGACUAAUACCGCAUACGCUCUACGGAGGAAAGCGGGGGUUCUUGGGCAACUGAGGACCUCGCACUAUAGGAGCGGCCGAUAUCGGAUUAGCUAGUUGGCGGGGUAAAAGCCCACCAAGGCGACGAUCCGUAGCUGGUCUGAGAGGAUGAUCAGCCACACUGGAACUGAGACACGGUCCAGACUCCUACGGGAGGCAGCAGUGGGGAAUUUUGGACAAUGGGCGCAAGCCUGAUCCAGCCAUGCCGCGUGAGUGAAGAAGGCCUUCGGGUUGUAAAGCUCUUUCGGCAGGAACGAAAUGGUUCGUGCUAAUACCACGGACUUGAUGACCGUACCUGAAGAAGAAGCACCGGCUUAACUUCCUGCCAGCAGCCGCGGUA
Molecule: ribosomal RNA, 532 nt
Filed under: uncultured Pseudomonadota bacterium
Lineage: Bacteria; Pseudomonadati; Pseudomonadota
Description: bacterial SSU rRNA
Rfam family: Bacterial small subunit ribosomal RNA
Source: RNAcentral